AACUCCAUUGACGUUUCUUACGUUGAAUCCCUUCUUGUUGUUGUCGUAAUAAAUUUCUGAAAUAAAAUCGCUCCUGUCUUUCCUUUACUUGUUGAUUCCUUCUUUGAUUAUCAUAGUCAUAAUCACCGCUCAUACUCCUUCGAUCUCGUCUUUUGUACCAUCAAAUCUUUAACAUUUCAUACUGUUGUCAAUCCCCGGCAGCGGCGCCAAAAAUGUAAUCGUCGUUUGACUCGGACUCAAAACACCAAGAUAUUUGAUCAGUAUAGGUGGAUUCGAUCUCGAGAAAAGACUCGUUGUAUGAAUUGGAUAUGUUAUGUCACAAUUGAUU
RNAcentral lists this long non-coding RNA (328 nucleotides) under Physcomitrium patens. RNAcentral describes it as "long non-coding RNA (PPAT_LNC005630)". Lineage: Eukaryota; Viridiplantae; Streptophyta; Bryopsida; Funariales; Funariaceae. The record is from RNAcentral.